CGGAAGGCAGCAGUGGGGAAUAUUGCACAAUGGGGGAAACCCUGAUGCAGCGACGCCGCGUGAGUGAAGAAGUAUUUCGGUAUGUAAAGCUCUAUCAGCAGGGAAGAUAAUGACGGUACCUGACUAAGAAGCCCCGGCUAACUACGUGCCAGCAGCCGCGGUAAUACGUAGGGGGCAAGCGCUAUCCGGAUUUACUGGGUGUAAAGGGAGCGCAGGCGGUUUUUUAAGUCUGAUGUGAAAGCCCGUGGCUCAACUGCGGGACUGCAUUGGAAACUGGAGAACUAGAGUGUCGGAGGGGCAAGUGGAAUUCCUAGUGUAGCGGUGAAAUGCGUAGAUAUUAGGAGGAACACCAGUGGCGAAGGCGGCUUGCUGGACGAUAACUGACGCUGAGGCUCGAAAGCGUGGGGAGCAAACAGGAUUAGAUACCCUGGUA
This 433-nucleotide ribosomal RNA is filed under the name uncultured Lachnospiraceae bacterium. RNAcentral describes it as "partial 16S ribosomal RNA". It matches the Rfam family "Bacterial small subunit ribosomal RNA", at positions 342 to 792 of the family's 1533-position model. The record is from RNAcentral. Lineage: Bacteria; Bacillati; Bacillota; Clostridia; Lachnospirales; Lachnospiraceae.